CUGAACGACUCUCGGCAACGGAUAUNUCGGCUCUUGCAUCGAUGAAGAACGUAGCGAAAUGCGAUACUUGGUGUGAAUUGCAGAAUCCCGUGAACCAUCGAGUCUUUGAACGCAAGUUGCGCCUGAAGCCAUUAGGCUGAAGGCACGUCUGCCUGGGCGUCACGC
This 165-nucleotide ribosomal RNA is filed under the name Pyrola dentata. RNAcentral's name for it is "5.8S ribosomal RNA". It matches the Rfam family "5.8S ribosomal RNA". From Rfam's summary of the family: 5.8S ribosomal RNA (5.8S rRNA) is a component of the large subunit of the eukaryotic ribosome. Lineage: Eukaryota; Viridiplantae; Streptophyta; Magnoliopsida; Ericales; Ericaceae. The record is from RNAcentral.